This 382-nucleotide small RNA is filed under the name Arabidopsis thaliana (thale cress). Its description in RNAcentral is "ATSL178970". The record is from RNAcentral. Lineage: Eukaryota; Viridiplantae; Streptophyta; Magnoliopsida; Brassicales; Brassicaceae.
AGUGGCACCUAAUAUAGUCCAUACAGUGAAUAACUUAGUUCAUACUGGGUCAAAGGACAUAACAUGGUAACUUAGUCUUGUUCAUACGGUCUUACUUCAUACUUUCAUAGGUUCAUAUAUAGUUGAAAGUUCAUACUCCUGUACAAUAAAAGUAAAACUAAGAGCAUCUUUAUUGGGAGUAUCUCAAUGAGAUACCCAACAAAAAAAAAAAAUUAGAAAAAAAAAAAGUAAGAGAGAAGAAAGAAAAAGUAAAAGAGAAGGAGAAUUGAGUUCCUCGUAGGAAAAACUUUGAAAAACUAUUCUCAUCUAAAUUGGACAGCUGUCAUCGUAUUAUUAGUUCAAGUAUUAAAUAACAAUUAAUAUAUCUGUUUUGACUAAAAUU